This is a long non-coding RNA of Zingiber officinale, 814 nucleotides long. RefSeq lists it as uncharacterized. NCBI's taxonomy places the organism in Eukaryota, Viridiplantae, Streptophyta, Magnoliopsida, Zingiberales, Zingiberaceae. The transcript is spliced from 5 exons. The record is from RefSeq and is a predicted model, not a curated record.
UAAAGAAUCUAAGAGACUUACUAGAUUUACUUCUCUAAUUUUCCCUUGGCAUUGAGCAAGUUGCCUGUUGCAAUGCCAUUUUCUUUUUCUCUUGCAACUCGAAGAACCUGGUACCCAACUUGAAACCCUAAUCUUGAUCUGGCAUGGGGAGCAGCAAUCUUCCUCCCAGAAUCAUCAAGGAAACCUAGAGAUUACUGAACGAGCGAGGGAUCGUGUUUCUCAUUUUGGGACAUUACCUCUUGGGAUUUUGCUCGUACGAAGGUUCGCUUUCUCACUAAAAUCUACCAUCCAAUAUUGACAAGGGAAGUAAAUAGGCUUCAUAUUUUUCUUCAGAGAUGCUAUUGAUCUCUAUUAAAUAGGUUAAUGAUUCAUACAGCUUGGACGAAUAUGCCUUGCUAUUCUCAAAGACAAGUGGAGUCCAGCACUACAAAUUCGAACAGUAUUGCCGAGCAUUCAAGCACUAUUGAGCGCUCCCAACUCAGAUGACCCACUGAGAAUAUUGCCAAGCAUUGGAAGCUGAAGCUGAAGCUGAAGCUGAAGCUGAAGCUGAAGCUGUAGAGACAGGUAUGGGGUUAAUUCGUUCCUACCUAUAAAAGCAGUGUCCUCAUCUCUCAUAUUUGGAUGGUGGAUACUACCUGUACAUUUAGGUUGAAAUUUUCCCAGGUUUGGUACUAUCCUUUAAAGUCAAAUACUGUCUAGGAAUUUCAAAAAGCUACCGCUACUUGAAUUCCUUGAUCCCGUCACUCUCAUCCUUAUCAUCUUGAGUUUAAUAUAUAAAUGUUAUAUAUAUUAUUAGCUUAUUGUCUUUGUUAAA